Molecule: ribosomal RNA, 250 nt
Filed under: uncultured bacterium
Lineage: Bacteria
Description: partial 16S ribosomal RNA
Rfam family: Bacterial small subunit ribosomal RNA
Source: RNAcentral
UAGAUACCCUGGUAGUCCACGCCGUAAACGUUGGGCGCUAGGUGUGGGGAACUUUCCACGUUCUCCGUGCCGCAGCUAACGCAUUAAGCGCCCCGCCUGGGGAGUACGGCCGCAAGGCUAAAACUCAAAGGAAUUGACGGGGGCCCGCACAAGCGGCGGAGCAUGUGGCUUAAUUCGACGCAACGCGAAGAACCUUACCAAGCUUGACAUAUGGCGAAAACUGGCAGAGAUGUCAGGUCCGCAAGGGCGC